UAUAUGGAGAGUUUGAUCCUGGCUCAGGACGAACGCUGGCGGCGUGCCUAAUACAUGCAAGUCGAGCGGACGGAUGGGAGCUUGCUCCCUGAAGUCAGCGGCGGACGGGUGAGUAACACGUGGGCAACCUGCCUGUAAGACUGGGAUAACUUCGGGAAACCGGAGCUAAUACCGGAUAAUUCUUUCCCUCACAUGAGGGAAAGCUGAAAGAUGGUUUCGGCUAUCACUGAC
This 231-nucleotide ribosomal RNA is filed under the name Bacillus sp. ISL-47. RNAcentral's name for it is "partial 16S ribosomal RNA". It matches the Rfam family "Bacterial small subunit ribosomal RNA", at positions 1 to 222 of the family's 1533-position model. The record is from RNAcentral. Lineage: Bacteria; Bacillati; Bacillota; Bacilli; Caryophanales; Bacillaceae.